GAACGCUGGCGGUGUGCUUAACACAUGCAAGUCGAACGGGCAAGAGCUGUAGCAAUACAGAAUUCUGCUAGUGGCAAACGGGUGAGUAAUACAUGGGAAUCUACCUUGCAGUGCGAAAUAACAGUUGGAAGCAAUUGCUAAUGUCGCAUAUAGCCGAGAGGUGAAAGAUUUAUCGCUGCAAGACGAGCCCAUGCAGGAUUAGCUAGUUGGUAAGGUAACGGCUUACCAAGGCAACGAUACGUAGCCGACCUGAGAGGGUGAUCGGCCACACUGGAACUGAGACACGGUC
Molecule: ribosomal RNA, 289 nt
Filed under: uncultured Rickettsiales bacterium
Lineage: Bacteria; Pseudomonadati; Pseudomonadota; Alphaproteobacteria; Rickettsiales
Description: partial 16S ribosomal RNA
Rfam family: Bacterial small subunit ribosomal RNA
Source: RNAcentral